Long non-coding RNA from Dromaius novaehollandiae (emu), 1429 nucleotides. RefSeq lists it as uncharacterized. The transcript is spliced from 3 exons. Lineage: Eukaryota; Metazoa; Chordata; Aves; Casuariiformes; Dromaiidae. The record is from RefSeq and is a predicted model, not a curated record.
CUCCCUUACAAGAAAACUUCUUAGCCCUCAGGAAUGAAGUUUUGCUGCAACACAAGUGGGUUCUGCAAGAGGAGGCCUCCAGGCAAGAAGCAGCUGUCUCCCAGGCAGGUCAAAGCCAUUUAAGGGAAAAUACAGGAGGACAUCUUUAUUUCCUUCCAUAUGCUAUCAGAUGGCUAUAGGAAACUGGUGUCAUCAGUAAUUAGUCCACUCUUUUGGAAGAUAACGAGGGCAGCAGGAGUGACACCUUUCGCGGAAGGCUGUUGUCUACAGCAGAAAGGAGACAGAGGAGCACUUUCGGUUUGAGCAGGCAGAAUCUCUUCCUUUCGCUUUGAGCCGAAUUCCCAGGACGCAGCUGUUCCAUCCUGCGUCAUUGCAAGUGGCAGCCCUGGGACUAUGUUCAGACAAAGCCAAUAUACGAUUAUGGGAAAAUACCUCCUUUUUCUCCAGAUAAACAGAGAGAGGCGUAUGACUGAAAUCCAGCUUUGGAUGCUGAGUACCACUAAAGCUGAUUCUGUGUUUGAAAAUACAUUAAAAAAAAAUCCAAGUUCCUCAUACUCUAUUUUUUCCAAGCCUUUUAAACUAUAAAUCUUUGAGACAUCAAAUCAGACUUUUUGUAUCAAAUAAAGUAGGGUGAGACAUGCAUAGCGUACGUUUGCCUCUUAAGUCAGUGUUUCUUGAUACUAUAUGUUGCAUUAUGCUACUUGCAAAAGUAGCUUUCCAAAAACAAGAGAAGCCCAAUAUACUCAUAUUGAACGUACUCAGUGUAUAUAGUCUGACACUGACGUAGCGAAUAGAUUCCAAAUGAAAUUUCUGAUGAGAGAUUUAAACAGAAUGAAACUAUCCAUAAGACAGAGAUGAGAAUUAAUUCUAACAGAAUUCCACCGUGUUUGUGCUGUGGAUAUGGGCACUGUGGUCUGAAAUUAUUAUUUAGAAACUGUUCCAUUGCUGCUGAAUAUAAGUGAGAGUAAGUAAAAAACCCUGUCUCAUCUGCAAGACUUAAUGGAUCCAAUCCUACAAGAUAAACUGCAUGCAGAUUAAUGUGUCCGACUGCAACUAUUUCCUGAUCUUUUUCAAUACAUGCUGUUACGACGAUUCUUUCAUAAAGAGACAUAGCAUGACUUUACUGUGUUUAUGGUUAGAAGCCUGACUUUUUGUCUGUAGGAUCUUCCCCAGUUUUCCAGAAGAAAGUCAGGCUUUCUUGCCAAAGAUGAAAGAGGUUCACUACAUUUCUGGGAUUCUUAACAAUCUAAGCCCACAGGAUUAAAAAUUGGUGGAUUGGGUUUUUUCGCGUGUGUGUUUCUUUGAGAGGGAAACUUGGGAGCAAGGUAGACAUCCCAGAACUGAAGACAAAAGUACACAACAGAAACAGAUCACAAGCUUAGGGCAACUGCCUUACAGGACUCUGGAGCCCAGGGGUAGUAGGCACUUC